This 538-nucleotide ribosomal RNA is filed under the name uncultured bacterium. Its description in RNAcentral is "bacterial SSU rRNA". It matches the Rfam family "Bacterial small subunit ribosomal RNA", at positions 777 to 1308 of the family's 1533-position model. The record is from RNAcentral.
AAUAGAUACCCCGGUAGUCCACGCCGUAAACGGUGGGCACUAGGUGUGGGCGACAUUCCACGUCGUCCGUGCCGCAGCUAACGCAUUAAGUGCCCCGCCUGGGGAGUACGGCCGCAAGGCUAAAACUCAAAGGAAUUGACGGGGGCCCGCACAAGCGGCGGAGCAUGUGGCUUAAUUCGACGCAACGCGAAGAACCUUACCAAGGCUUGACAUACACCGGAAACGUCCAGAGAUGGGCGCCCCCUUGUGGUCGGUGUACAGGUGGUGCAUGGCUGUCAUCAGCUCGUGUCGUGAGAUGUUGGGUUAAGUCCCGCAACGAGCGCAACCCUUGUCCCGUGUUGCCAGCAGGCCCUUGUGGUGCUGGGGACUCACGGGAGACCGCCGGGGUCAACUCGGAGGAAGGUGGGGACGACGUCAAGUCAUCAUGCCCCUUAUGUCUUGGGCUGCACACGUGCUACAAUGGCCGGUACAAUGAGCUGCGAUACCGCGAGGUGGAGCGAAUCUCAAAAAGCCGGUCUCAGUCCGGAUUGGGGUCUGC